Molecule: microRNA precursor, 199 nt
Organism: Oryza rufipogon (brownbeard rice)
Lineage: Eukaryota; Viridiplantae; Streptophyta; Magnoliopsida; Poales; Poaceae
Rfam family: MIR812 microRNA precursor family
Source: Rfam
AAAAAAUACAACCAUAAGUUUUCGUAUCCAAUUUUAAUCAUCCGUCUUAUUUAAAAUCUUUUUAUAAUUGAUAUUUUUAUUAGAUUAUAAAACAUGAAUAGUAUUUUAUGCGUGACUCAUAUUUUUAGUUUUUUUUUAAAAAAAUUUAAAUAAGAUGGACGAUUAAAAUUGGACACGAAAACUUAUGGCUGCGCUUAUU